ACGAGAAAUCAACUGUCUCUUAAUAAAUUUUUGAAUUUACCUUUUGAGUCAAAAGGCUUAAAUUCUUCUUUAGGACGAGAAGACCCUAUAGAGCUUGACAUUUUACUUUUAUAUAGUUUUUUGUUUGUCUUUCUAUAUUUAAUGAUGUGUUUUGUUGGGGUGACWUGAAGAAUAGAUAAACUCUUCAUUAUUAUAUCCUUUAUUUAUGUUUGUUAUUUGAUCCAUAMUUUAUGAUCAUAAGAUUAAGUYACCKUAGGGAUMACAGCGUAAUUGUUUUUGAGAGCUCAUAUCGAC
RNAcentral lists this ribosomal RNA (294 nucleotides) under Antaxius hispanicus. RNAcentral describes it as "partial 16S ribosomal RNA". The record is from RNAcentral. Lineage: Eukaryota; Metazoa; Arthropoda; Insecta; Orthoptera; Tettigoniidae.